Molecule: ribosomal RNA, 253 nt
Filed under: uncultured bacterium
Lineage: Bacteria
Description: partial 16S ribosomal RNA
Rfam family: Bacterial small subunit ribosomal RNA
Source: RNAcentral
UACGUAGGGGGCAAGCGUUGUCCGGAAUCAUUGGGCGUAAAGAGCGUGUAGGCGGCCUGGUAAGUCCGCUGUGAAAGUCCAGGGCUCAACCCUGGAAUGCCGGUGGAAACUGUCAGGCUCGAGUCCGGAAGAGGCGAGUGGAAUUCCUGGUGUAGCGGUGGAAUGCGCAGAUAUCAGGAAGAACACCAACGGCGAAGGCAGCUCGCUGGGACGGAACUGACGCUAAGGCGCGAAAGCGUGGGGAGCAAACAGG